CUUUNUCGGUCUCGCGAAUGCCAUCNUAGACAUGAUNGUAAAUGGUGACUCCUAGGCCUCGCACCUUUCCCAGUANGGGNGUAUCCNGUUGCUACAAACUUCACCCCAAGAUCAGUCAGNGACCACGCGNCCAGAUGAGCAACAGCUGCCCUCACCCGAAGNAUGUUACGCAUACCUAGCUAUCCUAGGUAGCAAACAAACUCACCAAUGGAGUGAUAGAACAGAGAGCAGNGUGAUGUAACAAGAGAGACCGAGAGAAAACGAGUAUNUAUCCAGCCCUGACAAGACAAUAUUGACAAUGAAGAUCUAUGGCGAAAAAAUAUAAACAGUAAGGGUCCGNAAAAAAUUUACCAGGAACCCAUUUCCACAAUGGGGAGAAAAGACAUCANCCCNAUGAUUGUNGUCAAANAGCUAACCAGUUCCACCUAACUUCACAGAUGGCAAACAUNGGAAUANGGAAAAUUAGUANNGGUGAACUAUCCUUUUGACAAAAACAAUUUGUGUGAGCUUUNUUANCCACNGAUCACAGUCACAUGUGNUCAUAUAUAGUCAAGNAUACCGACUUUNACAUGUAAUUAACACACUUUUUAGCCNAAAUUAUNUGAACUAAAGUAANAUAAACAAGAAAUUUAAUUUNGAGAUUCGAGACACCAACCUG
This 658-nucleotide ribosomal RNA is filed under the name uncultured bacterium. RNAcentral's name for it is "partial 16S ribosomal RNA". The record is from RNAcentral.